GACGAACGCUGGCGGCGUGCUUAACACAUGCAAGUCGAACGAAAAGGCCCUGCUUUUGUGGGGUGCUCGAGUGGCGAACGGGUGAGUAACACGUGAGUAACCUGCCCUUGACUUUGGGAUAACUUCAGGAAACUGGGGCUAAUACCGGAUAGGAGCUCCUGCUGCAUGGUGGGGGUUGGAAAGUUUCGGCGGUUGGGGAUGGACUCGCGGCUUAUCAGCUUGUUGGUGGGGUAGUGGCUUACCAAGGCUUUGACGGGUAGCCGGCCUGAGAGGGUGACCGGCCACAUUGGGACUGAGAUACGGCCCAGACUCCUACGGGAGGCAGCAGUGGGGAAUAUUGCACAAUGGGCGGAAGCCUGAUGCAGCAACGCCGCGUGCGGGAUGACGGGCUUCGGGUUGUAAACCGCUUUCGCCUGUGACGAAGCGUGAGUGACGGUAAUGGGUAAAGAAGCACCGGCUAACUACGUG
This 468-nucleotide ribosomal RNA is filed under the name uncultured bacterium. RNAcentral describes it as "partial 16S ribosomal RNA". It matches the Rfam family "Bacterial small subunit ribosomal RNA", at positions 28 to 507 of the family's 1533-position model. The record is from RNAcentral.